UGCAAGUCGAGGGGCAGCAUGGUCUUAGCUUGCUAAGGCUGAUGGCGACCGGCGCACGGGUGAGUAACACGUAUCCAACCUGCCGUCUACUCUUGGCUAGCCUUCUGAAAGGAAGAUUAAUCCAGGAUGGGAUCAUGAGUUCACAUGUCCGCAUGAUUAAAGGUAUUUUCCGGUAGACGAUGGGGAUGCGUUCCAUUAGAUAGUAGGCGGGGUAACGGCCCACCUAGUCAACGAUGGAUAGGGGUUCUGAGAGGAAGGUCCCCCACAUUGGAACUGAGACACGGUCCAAACUCCUACGGGAGGCAGCAGUGAGGAAUAUUGGUCAAUGGGCGAUGGCCUGAACCAGCCAAGUAGCGUGAAGGAUGACUGCCCUAUGGGUUGUAAACUUCUUUUAUAAAGGAAUAAAGUCGGGUAUGCAUACCCGUUUGCAUGUACUUUAUGAAUAAGGAUCGGCUAACUCCGUGCCAGCAGCCGCGGUAAUACGGAGGAUCCGAGCGUUAUCCGGAUUUAUUGGGUUUAAAGGGAGCGUAGAUGGAUGUUUAAGUCAGUUGUGAAAGUUUGCGGCUCAACCGUAAAAUUGCAGUUGAUACUGGAUGUCUUGAGUGCAGUUGAGGCAGGCGGAAUUCGUGGUGUAGCGGUGAAAUGCUUAGAUAUCACGAAGAACUCCGAUUGCGAAGGCAGCCUGCUAAGCUGCAACUGACAUUGAGGCUCGAAAGUGUGGGUAUCAAA
This 729-nucleotide ribosomal RNA is filed under the name uncultured bacterium. RNAcentral's name for it is "bacterial SSU rRNA". It matches the Rfam family "Bacterial small subunit ribosomal RNA", at positions 56 to 772 of the family's 1533-position model. The record is from RNAcentral.